Ananas comosus (pineapple) is the source of this 1777-nucleotide RNA transcript. It is a transcript of the gene named WD repeat-containing protein 25, with no coding region annotated. The record is from RefSeq and is a predicted model, not a curated record. The transcript has 5 exons. Lineage: Eukaryota; Viridiplantae; Streptophyta; Magnoliopsida; Poales; Bromeliaceae.
CAUACGUUUUACCUGUCGCGCGCCAUGGAUCUCCUCUGCACCGCCUACGGCGGCGGUGCCGCCUCCGACGACGACGACGACGACGAUUGCCGCUCUAGCGGCGGCAGCGAUCGGAAACAGCUCGGAGCUCCGCCUUCGAAACGGCGUCGAUCGGAAGGCUUCGUCGGGAGCCAUCGGCCCCCUCCGCCGCGGCCGGCGGAGGCGGCGGUGGCGGCGCCGCCACUCGUCGCCGGGAGAUACGUCUCGAAGAGGGAGAGGGCGAUCCUUGCGGCGGGGUCUUCUAGGGUUUCUUAUCCGGCGCCUUCUCCUACUACUACUAUCCCUUCCGCGGCGAUCCCCUCUCCUGUUGUCGGAACCAUUUCUGAUUCAGAUCUUCCGGCUGAUGUUCUCACACCUUCGCGGUAUCCAGCAAAGAAUGCCUCAAGCAAUAAAUCGCCUACAAAGCUAUCUGUUUCCUUAGUCGGUCACACUAAAGCUGUCAAUUCUGUACAGUGGUCGCAGAGUCAUGGCCAUCUUCUUGCUUCUGCCGGAAUGGAUCAGGCCGUCCACAUAUGGAAUGUAUGGAAUACAAAACAACCGAAAGCACGCAUUUUCAAGUAUCACAAGGCAGCGGUGAAAGAUGUUAGAUGGACCCCAAACGGGCUUUCAUUGCUCUCUUGUGGAUUCGAUUGUUCAUCGCGGGUUGUUGAUGUUGAGAAGGGGGAAGAAACAAAUAUCUUUAAAGAGGAUCAAGUUGUGGAGGUGAUUAAGUUUCAUCCAAAUGACCCUAAUUUAUUCUUGUCCGGUGGGUCAAAAGGGUUUCUUAGACUCUGGGAUAUUAGGAUGGGGAAGAUGGUAAAAGAAUAUCAGAGAUCUCUUGGGGCGAUACUUGAUAUUGAAUUUAGUGCUGAUGGGAAACAUUUCAUCUCUUCAAGCGACACAUCUAAAAGUAACAUCAGUGAAAAUUGCAUCAUUAUUUGGGAUGUAGUACGGCAAGUUCCUUUAUCCAACCAGGUAUACACAGAGGCGUACACAUGUCCUUGUGUAAGAUACCACCCAACCGAUGCUUCCUUUGUCGCACAAUCAAAUGGUAAUUACAUCGCAAUUUUCUCAGCCAGGCCGCCCUUCAAGUUGGACAGGUACAGGAGGUACGAAGGGCAUGGAGUAUGGGGCUUCCCUAUAAAGUGUAAUUUCUCGUUGGAUGGAAGAGAACUCACUUCUGGGUCCUCCGACGGCUCUAUAUACUUAUACGACUACAAAACGGCCAGGCUCUUGAGGAAACUAAAGGCUUUCAAUGAAGCUUGCAUCGAUGUGGUGUAUCAUCCUGUGAAGCCCAAUGUGAUUGCCUCAUGCAGCUGGAAUGGCGAAGUAUCCGUAUUUGAAUGAGAGUUAUCUUGCAUCUUUCUUCUUUGAAGAAUCCCAUGCAUUAUUUGUAGAAAAUGGCUUGCCGACUGGGAUUAGCUGAACCAUUUUCUGUAAAAAUCUCAUGGACUUCACCGGCGAUGAUCAGUUAUUUAUCAUACUCUUGUUGAGAGGAGAAGUAACGACGAUUGUUACUUUGCAAAAGGGCAAUUCUGGUGGGACUGUAUGAAGUUAUCUCUGUACUUUGAUCUAUGAUUCAAUGAAGAUGCGCCCGGGAAAGCAGCGAAGGACUGCAUCGCCUAAGGGAAGCAACACGUUUACAGGAGGUCCAGGGAUUUCGAGAGGAUCUUUUUGCAGCAUAAUAAAGGCCCUGUUUGGUCUGGCUAUUUACUGUGGCGCGGCUAACCAAUUUAUCUAUGGAUCAUUUGCAUAUUGU